AGAGUUUGAUCCUGGCUCAGGAUGAACGCUGGCGGCGUGCCUAAUACAUGCAAGUCGAGCGAACGGACGAGAAGCUUGCUUCUCUGAUGUUAGCGGCGGACGGGUGAGUAACACGUGGAUAACCUACCUAUAAGACUGGGAUAACUUCGGGAAACCGGAGCUAAUACCGGAUAAUAUUUUGAACCGCAUGGUUCAAAAGUGAAAGACGGUCUUGCUGUCACUUAUAGAUGGAUCCGCGCUGCAUUAGCUAGUUGGUAAGGUAACGGCUUACCAAGGCAACGAUGCAUAGCCGACCUGAGAGGGUGAUCGGCCACACUGGAACUGAGACACGGUCCAGACUCCUA
This 344-nucleotide ribosomal RNA is filed under the name Staphylococcus aureus LysK 2 2010. Its description in RNAcentral is "bacterial SSU rRNA". It matches the Rfam family "Bacterial small subunit ribosomal RNA", at positions 8 to 341 of the family's 1533-position model. Lineage: Bacteria; Bacillati; Bacillota; Bacilli; Caryophanales; Staphylococcaceae. The record is from RNAcentral.